UGAAGCUGGAUUCGCUAGUAAUCGCGCAUCAGCCACGGCGCGGUGAAUACGUUCCCGGGCCUUGUACACACCGCCCGUCAAGCCAUGGAAGCCGGGGGGUGCCUGGAGUGCGCUGCCGCAAGGAGCGUCCUAGGGUAAAACCGGUGACUGGGGCUAAGUCGUAACAAGGUAGC
This 173-nucleotide ribosomal RNA is filed under the name uncultured bacterium. RNAcentral describes it as "partial 16S ribosomal RNA". It matches the Rfam family "Bacterial small subunit ribosomal RNA", at positions 1321 to 1500 of the family's 1533-position model. The record is from RNAcentral.